GUGGGUAUAGCUCAGUUGGUUAGAGCGCCAGAUUGUGGCUCUGGAGGGUCCGGGGUUCGAAUCCCUGUGCGCUCACCA
This 78-nucleotide transfer RNA is filed under the name Clostridioides difficile. Its description in RNAcentral is "tRNA-His(gtg)". It matches the Rfam family "tRNA". Rfam says of the family: Transfer RNA (tRNA) molecules are approximately 80 nucleotides in length. Lineage: Bacteria; Bacillati; Bacillota; Clostridia; Peptostreptococcales; Peptostreptococcaceae. The record is from RNAcentral.